Molecule: ribosomal RNA, 498 nt
Filed under: uncultured bacterium
Lineage: Bacteria
Description: partial 16S ribosomal RNA
Rfam family: Bacterial small subunit ribosomal RNA
Source: RNAcentral
AUUGAACGCUGGCGGCAUGCCUUACACAUGCAAGUCGAACGGUAACAGGUCUUCGGAUGCUGACGAGUGGCGAACGGGUGAGUAAUACAUCGGAACGUGCCUAGUAGUGGGGGAUAACUACUCGAAAGAGUGGCUAAUACCGCAUGAGAUCUACGGAUGAAAGCAGGGGAUCGCAAGACCUUGUGCUACUAGAGCGGCCGAUGGCAGAUUAGGUAGUUGGUGGGAUAAAAGCUUACCAAGCCGACGAUCUGUAGCUGGUCUGAGAGGACGAUCAGCCACACUGGGACUGAGACACGGCCCAGACUCCUACGGGAGGCAGCAGUGGGGAAUUUUGGACAAUGGGCGAAAGCCUGAUCCAGCAAUGCCGCGUGCAGGAUGAAGGCCUUCGGGUUGUAAACUGCUUUUGUACGGAGCGAAAAGGUCUCCUCUAAUACAGGGGGCUCAUGACGGUACCGUAAGAAUAAGCACCGGCUAACUACGUGCCAGCAGCCGCGGUAA